This is a non-coding RNA of Punica granatum (pomegranate), 2225 nucleotides long. NCBI's taxonomy places the organism in Eukaryota, Viridiplantae, Streptophyta, Magnoliopsida, Myrtales, Lythraceae. The record is from RefSeq and is a predicted model, not a curated record.
CACACUGUAAUAGAUUUGUGAAGAUCUUUGAGUCACUUUCCUGUCUCUGACUCUCAUGAUGAUAAUGACCCUUCACCUCCCGUUCCCCUCCCCCCCGGCCCACACUCUGUAUAUAAAAAUAUAUGAACUCUUCCCUCAUUUCGUGCAAGUCUCUUCUGUACCUUUGUUUUCUUUUCCCUGUCUUUCCUUUAUAUCAUUUCUCUCCAAUUCUUUUUUUUUUUUACCCUCCUUUUUCCUUUUUUUUUUUUGGGGGGGGGGGGGGGGGGGUUUUCCCCAUUCUAUUAGACACCUUUAUUGAGGGAGUACACAACACAAGCUUCUGUACCUAUCCAGAAAGUCGCUGCAAAAUUGAUGGAGCUGAUCAAUCUUUUGGAUUGGAGGGUAAAACAUUGGUGUGCCGGUUGCUGUUCAUUUCAUGAAUUAUUUGUCGAGAUCUUGAGCCUAUCACCUAUGUUGUGGAUUUUUUUUUUAUUUUUUUAGGCGGCAAGGAAUUGGUUCGUAUGUUUUCUCUCUGGUAGGCGGAGUUGGAUAGAAUAUGAUUUCCAAGUGGCAUACAAGUCGGAUGGAUACUUACCAGUCUUGUGGCAGUGGUUGCCACUGGUUUAUGUGCUUGCUUUUGGCUAUCGGUCUAAUGAUAGUUGGAGGAGAUCGACCGGAUAUACUAUGUUUGGAGUCGUCAAGGGAAGAGAGAUAUGGGGGGAGAGAGCUUCCUUCGGCCCACUCAUGGGUGGCAAUAUUAAGGGGUUGAAUUAGCUGCCGACUCAUUCACUCAAUCACUCAGUAGAGAUCUAAAAUGACGCGGUGGGUCGUUCUUGCUGUGAUCGUCGAUUGGCAUCCUCUUAAGCGUAAAAUUCUACUGCUUGACUGUGUGAAUGAUGCGGGAGAUACUUCUCGCCCCUCCUUUUCUAUGCUUGGACUGAAGGGAGCUCCUUUCUCUCGAUUUCCCAUUUCCUGGUCAUGACUGAUCUCUUCCUGUGUAUAGAGCCACAACAUUCCAUCGAGAUAUGCUAGAACGAUCUCACAACCCGAGGUAUGUUAAUCCUAUCACACAGAAGGUCAGUGUAUGAUGCAACCUUCUACUUAAUGGUCGGAUUGUCCCGUAGAUGAUUCCUCCUUUCUGGGUGUAUGUUGAUCAACUAUACCGUUGGUGAGUGAGUUAGGUCUAUAAUGCCAAAAUCGAAAUCAACCUUGCAAUUGGUACACAAGUUGAUCUAGGAUCAUGAGAGCUUAUAUUUGUGUUAGUUUGCUUCAUAAAAGAAUUUAUUAAUUACAUUUUGUGCUGUAAUUCCCAAUUUUUUCUGUUCAUUGAAUGAUCUGUUAGACUGUGUGAUAGGCUGAUAGCAAUGUGGGUGAAAGAAGCCCCUCAUUCUUUGGUUGGUUUAAGUCUUUGACCUUUAUUUUGGCAUUUUUUUUUAAUGUUAUCAUCAUCAGCAUGGGGUUCUUAUAUAUAUAUAUAUGUGUGUGUGCGCGCGCGCGCGUGUGUGUGUAACGUAUUUUUUUUUUCCAUUUUUCCCUUCCACUGCUGAAAAGAAAAAUAUCUGCCCGUUUAUUUCCAAAAGAACUGUACGUCCCUGGUUCAAUUCUGGCGCACUGCUUCAAUGCUUUCUCACGAAUCUCUCCUUUUUGCUGAACAAAGUCGUGUACUUUGUCUCACGAAUCUCUCCUACUUGGCACUUUUGCCCUCCUUAAAAUUUACAUUGAUUAUUAGCUCCUCUUCUAACAUGAAGUGUCGUCGUUGAUCUCACAAUGAGGUGUCCAAUCGACCCUCGUGAUGCAGGUCUAAGGUUCAAGAUCCCACCUACUAGAUAUUGGUCGCACUCCGGUUCUUGAUUGAUCUAUCUGGGGGUUGGAUCGGGAUCGUGCUAGCACAUGGAAAGUACGUCGACAUGCGAUUAUUAGGAGAAUUAUUUGGUGGGGUAUGCUUAUUAUGUUGGUUAAAGGGUUUAAUUCAAUUGGUUUGGUGGGAGGGAUAUUCCUUACCAAACAGGUGAAAGCAAACAAAUUCUGUAUUGGGCUUUGAAAUGAGCUUUUGUGUUUGGUCUCGUCUCGUCUCGUUUCAUCUCUUUCUUUAUAUAAUGUAAACCCUAGAGUUUCACCUAUCUAUUUGUCCCCAUUAGGGCUUUUGUGUUGUUGGAACUUGGAACUCACUACUAGGAGUCUGCUUUAUAGGUUUUUGGUGGCAAACUAUAAAAACCAAAAGUUGAAUAACAUCCCAUUUUAUCAGA